RNAcentral lists this unclassified non-coding RNA (1187 nucleotides) under Hevea brasiliensis (rubber tree). Lineage: Eukaryota; Viridiplantae; Streptophyta; Magnoliopsida; Malpighiales; Euphorbiaceae. The record is from RNAcentral.
GGAAAACUUAGCACGAUCUUUAGCAUUCACGACUCAGAUAUGGUUUAAAACCUUGAACAAUUUGUUUCACAAAUAAGCACUCAUUCUCGCACUAGGAAUCAUACCCAUCAAACUCAAUCAUUGCAAUUUAAGGGGAAGAAAACCAUUACCAUUAAGGGGAAAGAAAAGCUUUGGUACAUCAUCCAACCGCAACAAAAUCACAUUAACAACUGCAUAUUACAUCAGCCAAACUACAAUAACCGUCAUUUUUUCCACUAGAAAAGAGAGGAUGUAAGUUCAGACACAUCAGCUGAAACCUGAGAAAAUUCUGCCUUUAAUUUCUCCUGUUCCUCCUGGUCUAGUUCCCCCUUUGGAGGCUUGGUUAACACCAGAACACAACAUGUAGGUCUCUUGGUGGCUCCUGCAUUUGCAAGAUCCUGAAAUGACAAAUUAACAUUACGAAACAAAUAUUCAAUAACAAAAAAAAUUUGUCAUCAUCUCAUAGGUUUAUGCUUUGCAGUAACAAAAAAUUCAAUAACUCAUUUUGGCAACCUCAUACUUAAUGAGUUAAAGUACCCACCAUCACAUGCCCAGAAUGUCGAGAAAAGUUUUCCAUUUCGUUGAGACUUCAAACUUAUCAAGCUAUUAAGGCUUUGAGGAAUUACCGAUGAUUCAAAGCAUUAAAGACACAUACAACGAUAAGGACUAAGGAGGUGUUCAGUACGAAGUUAACAAGAGUAAUUGUCACCCUUGUAACUUUUAACUCUUCAUUAAUGUUCUUUGUAUGUUUAAAGAGACUGUAUAAAAAGACAAUAUUAAAUUUCAUCUCAUUAAUAUUUAUACCUUUAGGGGGAUUAAAUAUUAACCUUAGGGGGCUUAAGUUAGUAAUUACCCUGUUUAAACACUAAAACUUACAAAGAUAACAUUUGACUUUUGAUUUUUUAUCCUCCGACCAAACACAUUCUAAGACUGCUCUGGUGUCUUCUCACUACACCUUGAUAACAAAUUUGUUAGCAUGGAUAACUAAUAAGCCAUUUUUAUCCGCUUACUAAUGAAAACUGUAGGUCUUGUCUUAUGUUCACAAGCUAUCAUAGAACAGAAGGCACUUCCUAAAAAUGAGAAGUAGAAAUGAAAUUUUAUACAAAUACGUCAUUCUUGAUACAAGAAGAAAGAACAAGAGGUCUGCAGUGUCAUAAAAAAAAAACUUA